GUGUCCUGAAUGUCGCCGCGAUGCCCGCUAAAUUUGCGAAAAGGUUGAUGCUCAUACGCUCACUUUAGGGGCAGUGCGCUUUGGUUAAGUGGGCCAACAAAUCUAAACCCUUCAACCACUCUCUCAAUCUCUGUAGAGUGAAAUAAAUAAAUAAAUAACGAAUUUGUAAUUCACUCACAAUAAGAGAGCUCCUACGAUAGUUUUAAAUCUACUAAUCUCACGAUUAACUUUUUGUAGAGAAAAGAGGGGGGAAAAACAAAUUAUGAGGACGAGUUCUGGUUUCUGAGUCGAACCGCCACCAAAUACUUAUUUUGUCAACUCCAUUAAAGAUGUCCACUAAAAUUAAGGGCCAUGAUAAAUGAGUAACCGAAUUUCACCUUGACCACGAGUUUUUCUUCCAUUUUUCUCAUAUUUUAGACAUUUCUUUGCACUUUAGUGAUUGGUAUUGAGUAUUGAAUGUAGUGACGUUUUUGGUAUUUUCUACUUGCCUUCUUUUGAGAAAUACAAACCAUCGUGUGUAACGAUACUCUCCCAUCUACAUAAGCAUCCCUAGAAUCUUCUUUGAGUUUUAUUCGGGUGUCUUCUCUUGUAGCGUCUGGAAGAGAAAACAGAAAUGAAGCACUGGGGUCUGGUUUUCUUUGUGGUUCUUCUUGUUCAAAAACAGGGGAUUUUUCUCCCAGUUGAAGCAGAUGAUGGGUUUAUAAGUACCAAAGGAGUGCAAUUUAUGUUGAAUGGGAGUCCAUUUUAUGCAAAUGGAUUCAAUGCUUACUGGCUCAUGUAUUUUGCAACUGACCCUUCUAUGAGAAACAAAGUCUCAUCUGUUUUUCAAGAAGCUAGAGACCAUGGUCUUACACUAGCAAGAACUUGGGCUUUCAACGAUGCGCAAGAUAGAGCUUUGCAGUACUCUCCUGGCUCCUACAAUGAACAGACCUUCCAGGGAUUGGAUUUUGUAAUAUCUGAAGCUAAGAAAUAUGGGAUUAAGCUAGUGUUGAGUUUGGUGAACAAUUAUGAGAGCUUUGGAGGGAAAAAGCAGUACGUGAACUGGGCAAGGAGUGAGGGGCAGUCUAUAUCAUCUGAUGAUGAUUUCUUUGCAAACUCUGUAGUCAAAGGCUACUACAAAAAUCAUAUCAAGACUGUUCUUACAAGGCGUAAUACAAUCACUGGAGUUGCUUACAAAGAUGAACCAACUAUAAUGGCUUGGGAACUUAUGAAUGAACCCAGAUGCACCUCAGAUCCAUCAGGAGGAACCAUUCAGGCUUGGAUUACAGAGAUGGCUUCUUACUUGAAAUCCAUAGAUGGCAACCACUUAUUAGAAGCAGGCUUGGAAGGGUUUUAUGGGCAAUCAUCAUCUCAAAAACAGCAAUACAAUCCAAAUUUUCAAAUAGGGACAGAUUUCAUUGCAAACAAUCAGAUUCCAGGCAUUGAUUUUGCAACAGUUCACUCUUAUCCUGACCAAUGGCUGCCUAGUUCAGAUAGUGAAAGCCAGGAGUCUUUUUUGAACAAUUGGCUGAACAAUCACAUCCAGGAUUCACAGAACAUACUUCGAAAGCCAGUUCUCUUUGCUGAGUUUGGAAAAUCAUCUAAAACCUCCCCUUAUGAACAAAGAGACCAGCUGUUCAAUACAAUCUACUCAGCAAUAUAUUCGUCGGCUAGGGGCGGAGGUGCAGCUGCAGGUGGCAUGUUCUGGCAACUUUUCAUUGAGGGAAUGGACUCAUUCCGAGAUGGUUACGAGGUAGUCUUCAGUGAGAAUCCGUCAACAGCUGGUAUCAUAAUUGAUCAGUCUCAAAAACUUAACAAGAUUCGAAAGAUGUAUGCGAGACUUAGAAACAUUGAGAAGUGGAAUGAAGCACGGGGAAAUUAGAAGCUCUCAGUAGUGGACUGGGAACAAUAGCAGUAGCAUAAACAUACUAGACCUUUGAACAUUUAUAUAUAUAUAAUACUACAUAGAAUGCUGUAUCAAUUAUCAUGAAGUUUCAAGAAUGUAUUGUCCCUGGCAACAUAUACUGCUCGUCCAGAAGAUUUUCUCUGUUCUUUUUCUCCUUUCUGUUAAUUCCAAGCAGUAAGAAUGUAAGAUGAUAUUCAAUUGUCUGCUACAUAUCUACAAACCAAGCCUUCGCAACAAUGGUCACAUGAGAGCAAAUAUUAUUUGUAUUCAAACAUCAUAGGCAGCAUCCACAUAAUGAAAGCUUAGAGCUCUCAUUAUUCUAUAGAGUUAGUUACACUACUACUUUAAUAGGAUGUUCUUUGAGGAGCAUUAAUUUACAUGUAUCAUCACUACUAGUUACUGCUCAGUGCCACUGAGUUAAAAGAUCUUAGACCAACUGCUUCCUCAGCUCCAUUACUAGCAUAAUCCAAACAGGGAGUCCUUGGGAAUUCAAUGGCUAGAUAAUGGUUCCAUCUUUAAUUGUUGCAUUCUUCAGUAUGACUGUGAUCCCUGAUCUAAUGUAAAAUCCUUCUUCUGGUUUAUCUGCUUCUUGAACAUCAUCAGCAUUUGUGAUGACCACAUCUCUUCCUAUCUUGGCAUUCUUGUCAAUAAUGCAGUUCCUGAUUUUAGUAUUCUGUCCAACCCCAAUUGGAACCUUCCCUUCUGCAAGGAGAGAUGCAAUUUCAGAUUCAGUUUGGUAGUAGUCUGCACCCAUCAUCAAAGUAUCUGAAAGGUCAACACCACUCUCCAGUCUUGAACGCACACCAACUAUGGAGUGCUGUAUGCUACAUUCUCGCAAGAAGCAGCCAUGUGAAAUUAUGGCAUCCACAAUCCUGCAUUGAUCCACUUUUGUUGGUGGCAAGAAUCUAGGAGACGUGAAGAAAGGUGUCUUUGGAUCAUAAAAUUCAAACUUUGGUGGCUGUUCUGUGAGGGCCAAAUUAGCAUCAAAAAAUGACUUUAUGGUCCCAAUGUCUUCCCAAUAGUCAUUGAAUAAAUAGGCUUGGACAUUGUGGUCCUUCACAGCAGAUGGAAUAAUUUCAGAACCAAAGUCAUUGCAAGAAGGAUAACUCCAUCUAAGAAGCUUCAGUAGGACCUCAGUUCUAAACACAUAAACACCCAUUGAUGCAAUGUAAGGAAACCGUGAAGCAUCUUGCUUAGAUAACCCCAGAACAGCAGUAUCAACUUGCAUUGCUUUCAGGUCAGCUCCCUUAGGUUUCUCAGCAAAUUGGAUAAUGCGUCCUGUGUCGUCAAUCUUCAUCAAUCCAUAAUCUGAUGCACGGCUGUCAUUCAUAGGUACACAUGAAACAGUAAUAUCUGCAUUUGUGUCAAUAUGCUUCUGCACAAACUCCAUAUAGUCUGUCCGAUAAAGAUGAUCACCAGACAAAAUCAAUACAUGCUCCACGUUCUUGUUCUUUGCAUCCUCAAACACCCAAAUGAAUUGCCGCACCGCAUCGGCAGUUCCUUGGAACCACUUUUUUCCUGCCUCUCCUGGCGUUUGAGUUGCAGCCAGAACCUCCACAAACCCAUCUCCAAAAUUAACACCAUUUCCAAAGUUAUAGGUGCGAGCAAGGUGACGGUUGAGGGAGAAGGAAUUGAACUGUGUUAAAAUAAAAAUCUUCUGAAUACCACUAUUAAUGCAGUUACUCAUUGGAAUAUCAAUCAGCCUGUAACACCCUCCAAGUGGAACCGCAGGCUUGGCUCUUUGGCUAGUAAGUGGAAAGAGCCGUGUCCCAGCACCUCCACCUAAUAUGAUCGCAGCUACGUUUUUGGGAUCUGCCAUCGGUGUCUCAAAAGCCGUCGCAUCAAAUGUCACAGUUUCUUUGUUAACAUCAGAUGUAAGAACAGAGUAGGUGACUCGAGGCUUGACCUUUUUGAUACCUUUAUUGUUUUUGGUUCUGAAAUUCUUCCAUAAGUAAGCAUUAAAAUUCCUGCCUUUUAGGCUCUCCCUGAUACUCUCCCCCAAAAAAAGAGUACUCCUAUUAAAGAGACUUCUGUUAACACUAACGGCAUUGGAAGAAGCCUUCAGAGCAGCACAGCAAGAAUCCAUGGCUGAAGCAACCAAUAAAUUAGAAGUCCAGAUGAUGCUUCAGAGGGAAUAUUCGACAAAGAGUAUCCUAGGAUGUGAGAUGCAGGGUGUUUGGAAUCCUUAACAAAGAUUUAUGGCAUUGUGAAAAGGCAAAACUACUUUCCCAGAGGCAGAGAGGUAGCCAAAAAAGAAGAACCAAAGGUACCUAGAUGUCAAAACGAACAAGAUUCAAGACUUCGUACCAGUCCCAAUAUGCAAGGAAGAAGGAAACAAAAUGGGAAGUGAAGAAAACCGAAGGGUGGCGAGGUAAGAAAGGGAGGAGCAAACAGGGGAGAGAUUUGAAUACAGGAAAUGUAUGAGUAGCUUAAAAUGGGAUUGCGAAGAAAUGGGAGGAGAAAACACGAGAAGCUAAUCUUGGAAUAGAAAAUUGCUUGUGAUUUUGGAGUCAGAGAUCUGUAUGCCACUUCUAACUCCACAGUAUGCGGCUGCCACAGACUUCGCACGGCAUU
This 4459-nucleotide unclassified non-coding RNA is filed under the name Hevea brasiliensis (rubber tree). The record is from RNAcentral. Lineage: Eukaryota; Viridiplantae; Streptophyta; Magnoliopsida; Malpighiales; Euphorbiaceae.